AUAACAGGUCUGUGAUGCCCUUAGAUGUCCGGGGCUGCACGCGCGCUACACUGACUGGCUCAGCGUGUGCCUACCCUACGCCGGCAGGCGCGGGUAACCCGUUGAACCCCAUUCGUGAUGGGGAUCGGGGAUUGCAAUUAUUCCCCAUGAACGAGGAAUUCCCAGUAAGUGCGGGUCAUAAGCUUGCGUUGAUUAAGUCCCUGCCCUUUGUACACACCGCCCGUCGCA
RNAcentral lists this ribosomal RNA (228 nucleotides) under uncultured eukaryote. RNAcentral describes it as "partial small subunit ribosomal RNA". It matches the Rfam family "Eukaryotic small subunit ribosomal RNA", at positions 1453 to 1680 of the family's 1831-position model. The record is from RNAcentral.